UGCCUAGACACAGCAGCUCCAAUAACAUCUGGACGCUCAUGGUGAGAUAUAUUAAUUAUUCUUAUAAUGGUCAUCUGAAUUUGCAGAGACAAUUAGAUUUUGGAAGCAGGAAUCCUUUCCUCAUAAGAUGGAUGAGCUGUAGGAUUUGAUUCUGUUCAGCUUGAAUUAGUUUUUCAUCAUCAUGUUCUAUGUAUUAGGAAUUCAUGCCUUACAGCUCUAAUUUUUUCGCAUUGUUGGUGUAUGCUGGGAGUCACAUUGUUAUGCAUGCUAGCAAACAGUAGGAUUGAAAGUCUUACCCUGUUGGUUAUUAAUAUCUUUUCCACUAUAGUGAGGUUCAGCAAUUUAAUUCGUAUUAAGGUCACACAAACAGUUUGGUUUUCAGAUUUGUCUUGACAAACAUAUUUGGUUCAACAAUUUAAUUCGUAUUAAAGUCACACAAGCAGUUUGAUUUUUAGAUUUGUCUUGACAAACAUAUUUUUGCAGAUUAUCCUUACAUAAGCAAUUGAUUUCUGCAAGUUCCUUUCACUUCUUAUUUAUUUCUUCACUUGGUUAUGAUGUACUGCUAUUCGUUUUCAUGAUGAUUCAUGCAUUUUGUAGUUUUCACUCACAGAAUGUUCUCUCUAAACAAGAUUGGUUCCCAUUCUUACAGUGAAGUAGCUACUGAGCAGUGAGGCCAUCGAGCGACACCAGACCGCGGGACAGCGUGAGAAGAGGCAGGGGGUGUCUGGCGGGAUGGGGAAGACCACGAGGAAGUGUGGCGAUGGAGUGCAAUCCCGAAGAAGAAGAACAUUGCAAAGAAAGACCCUAGCCAAGCGCCACCCAAUUCUCUUUCAUUGACCUAUCUAAUGGCCAUCAAUUCAAUUGGUCCAAGCUGCUGCGUUUGACCUUCCCACUGACCCACUACAUCCUCGCUCAGCUGCUUCUGCUAUGUUUCUUCUCCAUGGCAUUGUCGGCUGCCAGUGUGCCUGACAUCAUGCCUAUGUGACCUCAUAUCAUGCUCCUCUACGUGUUCUUCUCACCCUGGUUCCAUGAGGAGAGAUGUUGUUCUGUGGUUCUGUAGCUCUACUCCAUAGCAAUGAUGGAGUCGCCUCCAGAUGGGAUAGCAAUUAUCUCGGGAUCAUGGUGAGGUUACUGAGUCGACCCUUCAUUUGGCUCUAUUCGUGUGGAUCUAUUCAUGUGCAUCUGUAAACUGUAUUUAGGUACAACUAUUGUUCUAGCACUUGUGUUUAUUAUUUUUGUAAAAAAAAGAUUUCUUGAUCUCAUUAAAUUGGGGUUUUAUGUUGACAUGAAAUUCUAACUGAAUUUGCUAUUUACCUGACAAUUCCAACAAUUUUUUGUAUUGUAUUUGCAUGUACGGAGCUGCCUAAGCAACGGCCAGGGGGCAUAUGCUUCUCCUACCACUAACAUCUUCAUCCUAUUUGAGCCAGAAUAGCUUUGGUGCCCUCUCUCGCUCAUGGUGAGGCCGUGCACGCUUGCCAUGGUUGUGGCUACGAAAUCUCAGACUGAGUCGCUUCGGUCGGGCACUAUUCAGAUUAAUGUGGGAAUUUCUAGCAUAUUCCUCUUUUACGGUGACGCCAGAUUUGAAUUUGAAGGCGUACUUGCCCCUGAGCUGGCGGUGCCUGAGAACAACGACGACAAAAUUCUGGCAUCGUCUCCGAGCUCUGUCGCAAGCAACGCAGGAACGCCUCAGGCUCAAAGUCGGGUUGCUGUGCAGGCGAGCGGCAGCAGCCACUUAUGUCUCUUCCAAGAAGGGCGUCACCUUGGAGGAGCAUAACGACACCGGCUGCAGCGGCGCACGAGCCAACAAAGGGACAGGACCAUUGGAGACGACGGACACAGAGGUGCAUGCUAGGCAUGCCGAUCAUCAGACACUAUGGAGCGAUCCCACCCGUGAUGCCGCAGUACACGCAGCCAUCGCCGCCACCGCCACAUGCCAUGAUCUACGGGCAAGUGCCUGCUCAGCAGCGUACAAGAGAGAUCACCGCGGGGCCCUACUCGCCAAGACGAUGCUUCUCUUAUCGUGCUUAUUUACUUGCCUUCUAUGUGUGACGAGAAGGAGCGGGAGAUUCAGAGGCUCAGGUUGGCAUCACUAGGUGAGUUCCCUGCUGAUUUGUCGAGCACGGGAUAUAGACUAUAGUCGGGUUCCUUCCUAACUCUGCUGGGCCUAAUGAAGAGAAAGAAUCAACUUUUGAGAUUAAUUGGCUAGAUCCAAGCAGGCAGCUGCACAACAUCGUCAAGGAGAAGAUGAGAACAAUGCGAUGUUCAAAGAAGCAGGCUCCAGUUUUGGUAAAUGAGUAGUGAUGUUGCAACCACCAAAACAAAUCUGAAAAAUAAGACAAAGACAAACAGGUUGAGAGGUUGGUUAAUGAUAUGGAAGAUCAAGUAAAAAACGAAUUAUUGGAAGCCCCGGCAAGCAAAGUAAAGAAAACCCUACUUAACUUGAUCACAAAGGUUGGAUCGUGCAAGUACAUGUUGUAUAAGUUUACUAGGCUGGGACAGGUCGUACUGGUGGUUGCUGGCAGAAUUCUGAUGUGAUUCACAUGUUCUUUAGUUCAGAAGAUGAAACAAAAACUCUCCAAAGAGGGGAAACAAGCACAGAUAAAGCCUGAAGAGAUAUGCAAUUUGGACUUAUAGGAACUGUCACUUCAUUAUUAUAGUGGAGUUAAAGGAAAUAGGAGGCAUGAAAACAUGGCAAGCGAGGAAAGAUCACUGCUACGCAAGAAAAAAUGCAAGUCCAUGUGAUUUUGCAAUAGGAGAGGCUUAGACUUUCAGGGUUUUUACUUGAAAAAUCGCAUUUGGUACUUCUGAGUAUUUUUUAUACUGUUUUGCUCCAUCAAAAUUCACCA
Long non-coding RNA from Triticum aestivum (bread wheat), 2846 nucleotides. RefSeq lists it as uncharacterized. The record is from RefSeq and is a predicted model, not a curated record. The transcript has 2 exons. Lineage: Eukaryota; Viridiplantae; Streptophyta; Magnoliopsida; Poales; Poaceae.